AUUAAAUAUAUGUUUAGAUAUAUAAAUAAAUCUUAGUUGAAGGAACAAAUUGUCCUGGCGUUACAAUAAUGAUGACGAUUAUGAUGGUGAUGAUGACGGUGAUGAAUUCUUCUCCCGGAGCUCGGCGGCGUUUCUACAUCACUGUUCUCCUCUCGUUCUUCUCAGGCUGAUGAUCUACACGCUGACACAAACCAUCAGAACAGCUGCACACGUCUUCCAGCAGAACCAUACGCUUCAGCCGAGAGACAGAAACACACACGCACACGCACAUACACGCACACACACACGCACACACACACACACACGGGGGUGCCCUCGUGUCCUGCACGUUCCUCCUUCAUUCAGGAAGGAGGUGAUGAAGAUGAAUUGUUAGAGGUGAUGCGGGAGAUGAUCAGCGUGGCCAUGUGCUGAUAUUCAAACCCCAAACUGUCCCAGCAUGACGCUUUACCCACCGCUUAUUACUGUUAUCAUCAUUAUUAUAUUCACACUGUCUCUUCCUUUCAUAGACAGAAUCCUGCUCUGAGUCCUUAAAUAAAUGAACACAGAAAAUCGAAGGAACAUGAAACCAGUAAAGAACAAAGUCAUGUUUAAUUCUCUAUCUAACCUUUUAGGGGGCGGGGUUAAUGUAUAAAAUUAAAAAUUAUUUAUGUAUAAAAUUAUUAAGAAAGCCUAAAUAAAGUGGAUGUUUGUAUUUUUGUUCGUUUUAAAUCACAUAUGAAAUACAAUAAAUGUGUCAAAUGUUUGGGGGAGAAAACGUCCGAUUACUAAAGCAUCGUUUCUUAUUGUAUUAAUUCAGAAAUUAUUAUUAAUAUUAAUUCAUAUUCAUUUAAUUAGGUUGUUUAAUUCUAGUAAAUAUGUCAGAUGUAUCUGUUUAUGUAAUUAUAUACUGUAUUAUUUAUUGUAUUUCAUAUAUUUGAACACUUACUGUAAAUCUAGCAGAGGAACAGCUUUAUAUCUUCUGCAGAACGCAGUGAAGUGGAGCGAAGUGAGAUAUCGGCACAUGGCCACUCGGGGUGGUUUGGGAGGAAACACGACCUCAAACGCUGCUGGGUUUCAUCUUUAUCCAAACGGUUCCUUUACAGUUCUAAUUGUUCAGUCGUUCGCCGCUAAUAACUGAACAUUCGAAUGGGUUUAGAGAAUGUUUUUAUUUAUAUCUCCUGUGUUGUUAUUUCUGUUGAUUUCCGGCGUGUUUAUUCAGAGUGCAGGAUCUCUGUAGAGCAGCGAGUCAGGACGAGUGGACCGGCCCGGGUCAGAACCGAGCCUUCCUCUCCGAUCAUGAACCCUCGCAGGGCGUAGAACCUCGUCCUCGUUACAGCUACAUCAGGGUCUGUCCGAUUCUCUCGCUCUGCAUCAUGGGUAAAGCGGCGUGAUAACUUCCAGUGCUUAAACGAGUCACGACAUUUAGGGCGUGUUCACACCGGUCCGUUUCUCCGUGCCGGGUUUGGUGUUCACAGGCGGGCGUGAAACACGAGCGCCGCGCUGAAAGAAAGCGUCAAUUCACUCCCUGACAGCAGAUGGCGCUUAUUGAAAAGCAGAAAUACCCCCGGUACACAAGGUGGCGCUGCACAACUUUACAAUAGCAUUCACAAAUUUAUGGGAUUUACAUUUUUUAAAUCACAUUUUUUUGGAGAUGCUGGAUUUGAUUUCCGUGAGCUGUAAUAAAACAAAAAGAAGAAAUAUAUCUAGAAUGUAUGAAAGUUCCUUUUUAAAAUUAAAUUACAGAAGAAAAAAAAAAAAGAUUUCCACAAUAUUCACAUUUUUUUAAAUGCACCUGUAUGCCAGGUGCAGAAUAAACACAACGGAUCAAUCAGCAGAUUAUUAUUUGCAGGGAACAGACAAAGAAACAAUGCUAAUUAAUGUAGAAAAUAAAACUGAAAGAAUUAAACGGAUCAUUUAGAAUAUUUAGAAUAUUUAGAAUAUAUUCCUGCAUUUCAGUCUCGUCACAAAAAUAACCACCACAUCAACGAGUCGAGAAUAAACAUCAGUUUGGACUAGAAACUCGACUCCAGGCUUUAGCUCCAUUGUGUUGCUACUCGAUCAUUAAAGUUACAGGCAAUUAAUAAACAGCACUGUGCUAACACUUAGUGUGUAAUCGUGACUCUGGUGACAGGACUGCGUGUGUGUGUGCGUGUGUGCACGCGGAAGGAUUUAUUAGCACUGAGCAUUUUAUUUUGUGUCACAUGCACUCUUACAGAAAUGAUGGGUGCUGCUGCUGCUGCUUCUUCAUUCAGACAGUUUUGUACUUGAACUCCAAGUCCAAGUCGGCACAUAAAAACAAAACCCCAAUAAACAAACACGUCGAUGUUAAAAACAAUCUGGCGCUCUGACGCAACGCUUUUUACGCGUGUGAACUCUCUCACCGACAGCCAUCGGAGCGUUAAACGGACCGUUUAAUGCGCUGUGAAAGACGUCCCGGUGUGAACAGGGCUUUCAUUUGAAGAUAUUUUGGUCAUUAUAGACUCGUGUACCGCCACACCGAGUUCCGACCACUGAACUGAUUCAGUACUCAAACACGUCUGUGUACUGAGACUCAUUCUCGAGAUGCUCUCACUCACUGCUCUGAUACACUGACCUGAUUCACUCACUCACUGCUCUGAUUCACUGACCUGAUUCACUCACUCACUGCUCUGAUUCACUGCUCUGAUUCACUGCUCUGAUUCACUGCUCUGAUUCACUGCUCUGAUUCACUGCUCUGAUUCACUGCUCUGAUUCACUGCUCUGAUUCACUGACCUGAUUCACUGACCUGAUUCACUGCUCUGAUUCGCUCACUCACUGACCUGAUUCGCUCACUCACUGACCUGAUUCGCUCACUCACUGACCUGAUUCGCUCACUCACUGACCUGAUUCGC
Ictalurus punctatus (channel catfish) is the source of this 2850-nucleotide long non-coding RNA. The record is from Ensembl. NCBI's taxonomy places the organism in Eukaryota, Metazoa, Chordata, Actinopteri, Siluriformes, Ictaluridae.